This 374-nucleotide unclassified non-coding RNA is filed under the name uncultured bacterium. RNAcentral describes it as "contains 16S-23S intergenic spacer region". The record is from RNAcentral.
UCCGGCUUAUCACCGGCGGUUUCUUUAGAGUGCCCAACUAAAUGAUGGCAACUAAAGACGAGGGUUGCGCUCGUUGCGGGACUUAACCCAACAUCUCACGGCACGAGCUGACGACAGCCAUGCAGCAUCUGUGCACAGGCCCCGAAGGGCUGCCGGGUUUCCCCGACAUUCCUGUGUAUGUCAAGCCUUGGUAAGGUUCUGCGCGUUGCGUCGAAUUAAACCACACGCUCCGCCGCUUGUGCGGGGACCCGUCAAUUCCUUUGAGUUUUAAUCUUGCGAUCGUACUCCCCAGGCGGGGUGCUUAAUGCGUUAGCUGCGCCACCGACAAGCAAGCUUGCCAACGGCUAGCACCCAUCGUUUACGGCGUGGACUAC